GUGACAUCCAGCCUGAAUAUCAUGGAGGUCUUAGAGAAAAAGAACAGUGUGACACAUCAACUGUAUGCUCAAGAUUUAGUCAUCACUGCAGUUAUCUGCUUUAUCGGUGGCAUUGGCUUUACCCUACUGAUAGGUCUGAUCUACUAUAAAGUAUCUCUGAGGAAGAACCUGACAGAAGGUACAAUGGAGAAGGCUGGAGAAGAAAACAGCACAAUGGCAAAUCUGCCAGAUAUAAGUGAAUGGAGGAACCACACCCACAUGGACAACAGCCUGGUCUUUGACCAGGAGGUCAUGACAUUGGAUCCCAGGACAUAUGACCCUGUUUAUCAGCUUGAUUCAAGUGAUAAAAAUAAUCAGUUCUGGUACUCGAACUGUUGCAGUAAAGACCACAGAGGGAUCAGACAGAAUCUUAUGAGGUGGGACAAUAGGACAAUUACACAAUUAAAGACAGAUGAGGAAACACAGAGGAGGAGGGUGAGGGUGAUAACAGAGCAUGAUUUAAGGAUGCUUGCAACUCAACAGGGGAUUCUAGAAUUUACAAACAAACUUUCUCAUGGCAGAACCUCUUCUCAUCCAAGAAAAGAAGCUGUUGGUAGAAGAGUUGAGGUUUUGGUUAAUAGUCAAGAGGAGGGACAUUGUUACAAGGCUGAAGGAGGAGAGUGCAGCAAAAUAAACAAGUCUUUGUACUCUAACAGCUGUCACAGGCUAUACAGACCAUCAGAGCCAAACUUGAGGAAAGGAAGGGUCGAUGCCAAAAUAGAAAACUCUGGUCUUUUUAGUGAUUUUCCUUGUCAGCACAGAGAGAUUGACAUAGAUUUAAAUAUUGGCGACAAAUCUGACACGAGUAAAGAUAUACAUAUUAGAAGAAAGGCAAGAAAUGUAACAUUUAACCUGGAAAGGUUGAGAAACUCUUCACAACAAAGUGAGGAUGAAAGAAAAUUCAGGGAUGAGGAGAGAGAAGGAAACAAUCCCAAAGUCCAGCUGAGACGAUUGAAGGGGAAAGUAAAUCUAAACCAGAAAAGUAAAGUCCAUCCUAAGAGGAAAAGUGAGCAGGGCCAUUUGUGUAGAAGCAGGUCAAAGAAGAGUAAAGGCAAAAGGGUGACUCGAGAAGACAGAGGGAAAACAAAGGAGAGCCAUCAGAAAAGGAAGAAAUCUGCCAAAUUAAAAGGAUUAGCUGAAGAUGGUAAUGAACAGAAUGAACGAAUGGGAGAGAAAACUGAAAAGACUUCCAUGAUGGGACCUAGUGUACCUGAGAGUACAGCUACUGAUCAGUGUGCUAAAGAGACAGCACAAUCUGUAGAUAAUACCAAUUCUGUUGACCAGUUACCCUCAGAUUAUCAACAUCUGCAGAAUGGAUGCAUUCAGAAUUACAGUGCCCCACCAAACCUGCCAACUUCAGCUGAUAACGGUCUCUCUCUCCAGAGGGGCAGCUUUUUACAUAAUAUUGUGACCACAGAAUCAAGUUCAUUGUUUGCUGGAUCGACAAAUACAAUACUUCCUAGUAAAGCGAUCAAUGUAUCCAGCAUAACUCCAAUUGGUGCUCCUGGCACCUUUAAUGGGCAAGAACACGUCUUGCCUUCUACUGGUUUUCUUCCAGCUAGCAUUCUGCAACAAUAUUCAGUAUAUACCUGUCCUCUUCUUGAUACUCAAGAAAAAGAUUUUAUGAUACCAACCGUGGAUUCAAAUGCAUUUCAGCAGUCCCUCCCACCACCACCCGCAGGCAGCUCUCCCAUUGUGGAAAAAUUACAGUCUGAUUCAACUACAGUGCCUGGACCUCAGCCUCAGAGUGGGAAAUGGGAAGCUUUAUGCAGGGCUCCUGCUAUAAGACAAAGUGUGGAGUCAGAGAAUGGAGAUAGACCUGACCUAACUGAAAGCCUUCCACUCCGAGGUUCAGGAGGCAUUAUGCAGCAAGGAGAAGGAAAGAGUGAUUCAUCAAACACUAUGUCCAUGCAUACUGUCCUCAGUGAAGACACAGAUGAUGAAGCUGCUAAAGUGCUGUUGCAGCAGCAGGUGUGCCUGUCAGAAGAAGGGAGCUCUACCCUCAAGCGGAAACUGAGGCUGGUGCUUCCAGAGAAGACAUCCAGCCGACCAUUCACUGCAUUGGAGAAGAAAAUACGCUAG
Molecule: long non-coding RNA, 2121 nt
Filed under: Takifugu rubripes (torafugu)
Lineage: Eukaryota; Metazoa; Chordata; Actinopteri; Tetraodontiformes; Tetraodontidae
Description: lncRNA (ENSTRUG00000030576.1)
Source: RNAcentral